RNAcentral lists this ribosomal RNA (466 nucleotides) under uncultured bacterium. RNAcentral's name for it is "partial 16S ribosomal RNA". It matches the Rfam family "Bacterial small subunit ribosomal RNA", at positions 28 to 507 of the family's 1533-position model. The record is from RNAcentral.
GAUGAACGCUGGCGGCGUGCUUAACACAUGCAAGUCGAACGAUGAAGCCCAGCUUGCUGGGUGGAUUAGUGGCGAACGGGUGAGUAACACGCGAGUAACCUGCCCUUAACUCUGGGAUAAGCCUGGGAAACUGGGUCUAAUACCGGAUAGGAGCGUCCACCGCAUGGUGGGUGUUGGAAAGAUUUAUCGGUUUUGGAUGGACUCGCGGCCUAUCAGCUUGUUGGUGAGUUAAUGGCUCACCAAGGCGACGACGGGUAGCCGGCCUGGGAGGGUGACCGGCCCCACUGGGACUGGAACACGGCCCAGACCACUCCGGGAGGCAGCAGUGGGGAAUAUUGCACAAUGGGCGGAAGCCUGAUGCAGCGAAGCAGCGUGGGGGAUGACGGCCUUCGGGUUGUAAACCUCUUUCAGUAGGGAAGAAGCGAAAGUGACGGUACCUGCAGAAGAAGCACCGGCUAACUACGUG